Molecule: ribosomal RNA, 278 nt
Filed under: uncultured bacterium
Lineage: Bacteria
Description: partial 16S ribosomal RNA
Rfam family: Bacterial small subunit ribosomal RNA
Source: RNAcentral
GUGGAUUAUACCCUGAUAGUCCACGCCGUAAACGAUGGAUACUAGUUGUUUGGAUUUAUCUGAGUGACUAAGCGAAAGUGAUAAGUAUCCCACCUGGGGAGUACGAACGCAAGUUUGAAACUCAAAGGAAUUGACGGGGGCCCGCACAAGCGGUGGAGCAUGUGGUUUAAUUCGAUGAUACGCGAGGAACCUUACCAAGGCUUAAAUGGGAAACGACGUAUUUGGAAACAGAUAUUUCUUCGGACGUUUUUCAAGGUGCUGCAUGGCUGUCGACAACU